Molecule: ribosomal RNA, 253 nt
Filed under: uncultured bacterium
Lineage: Bacteria
Description: partial 16S ribosomal RNA
Rfam family: Bacterial small subunit ribosomal RNA
Source: RNAcentral
GACGUAGGGGGCCAGCGUUGCUCGGAAUUACUGGGCGUAAAGGGUUCGUAGGCGGUGCGGUAAGUCGGAAGUGAAAUCUCUGGGCUUAACCCAGAGGCUGCUUUCGAAACUGCCGUGCUAGAGUGCGGGAGAGGCGAGUGGAAUUACAGGUGUAGCGGUGAAAUGCGUAGAUAUCUGUAGGAACACCCGUGGCGAAGGCGGCUCGCUGGACCGCAACUGACGCUGAGGAACGAAAGCUAGGGGAGCAAACAGG